This 82-nucleotide small RNA is filed under the name Escherichia coli. RNAcentral's name for it is "partial RtT sRNA". It matches the Rfam family "RtT RNA", at positions 49 to 130 of the family's 130-position model. From Rfam's summary of the family: This family represents a bacterial cis-regulatory element known as RtT RNA. The exact function of RtT is unknown although it is thought that it may be involved in changing the cellular response in relation to amino acid starvation. The record is from RNAcentral. RNAcentral also lists the same sequence under 1 other name. Lineage: Bacteria; Pseudomonadati; Pseudomonadota; Gammaproteobacteria; Enterobacterales; Enterobacteriaceae.
CGAGCGAAGCGAGAGAACGUUGCGCCAGCAACGGCCCGCAGGGCGAGCCACGAAGUGGCGAGUAAUCCUCUAUCACCGACCA